GUGCUCGCUUCGGCAGCACAUAUACUAAAAUUGGAAUGAUACAGAGAAGAUUAGCAUCCCCCCUGUGCAAGGAUGACAUGCAAAUUCAUGAAGCAUUCCAUAUUUUU
This is a small nuclear RNA of Tupaia belangeri (northern tree shrew), 107 nucleotides long. NCBI's taxonomy places the organism in Eukaryota, Metazoa, Chordata, Mammalia, Scandentia, Tupaiidae. The record is from Ensembl.